UACGGAGGGGGCAAGCGUUGUUCGGAAUUACUGGGCGUAAAGGGCUCGUAGGCGGCCCAGUAAGUCAGAUGUGAAAUCCCUCGGCUUAACCGGGGAAGUGCCUCUGAUACUGGAUGGCUUGAGUUUGGGAGAGGGAUGCGGAAUUCCAGGUGUAGCGGUGAAAUGCGUAGAUAUCUGGAGGAACACCGGUGGCGAAGGCGGCAUCCUGGACCAACACUGACGCUGAGGAGCGAAAGCCAGGGGAGCAAACGGG
RNAcentral lists this ribosomal RNA (253 nucleotides) under uncultured bacterium. Its description in RNAcentral is "partial 16S ribosomal RNA". It matches the Rfam family "Bacterial small subunit ribosomal RNA", at positions 524 to 776 of the family's 1533-position model. The record is from RNAcentral.